CCAACAUUAUAUUUUAUCACAGACUCAAAAAUAAUUAAAUUAUUCUUUCAUUCAGAACAUCUGACACAUGACAGACAUUUUAAGUGCUGAGGGGGCUUCAAAGCGCUUUAUCUUAUUGAAAACCAAUGUUUAUAAAUACUGUUCAGACUGUUUGAAUUGGAGAGCGUUGUGUUUAUUUACAAAGGAGUAAUACAAUAGAUAUAUGUGAAAUGGAUUUAAAUAGCACACAUAACCCAAGUUAUUGGUUCGUCAUAAGAGAAGAUCAAAGCAAUGUCAUAUUCAGCAGCAAUAAUUUUACAAUACAAAACCAACAAAUUUCAGGACAAGAGGCAAGAUAUAUUGUUGACUCAGCCGAAACAGGCAAGUAUAUCGAAAUUGAUGAUGCUCCAGUAAUAGUUCAAGAAACCACAGAAACUUUUGAUAAAGAUCCACUUAGAAGUAAGGAUGAAGAUAACUUUUGGGACAGAAAUAAAGUAAAAACACUUCUUAAUUUAUGUUUAGAGAACAGGUUUAAAAAUUCACUCAAAGAUAAGUCUCUAUGGCAAGAAAUUGCUAAACAUCUAGGAACCACUGUUGAUGAGUGUAAUAAAAAUAUAGGAAUCUUCGAAGGACAUACACAAGAUUACUAAAAAAAGAAAAAGAUUAGGGAAAGAAAUCAAAUGGGUUCAUUAUAAUAUUUGUGAAGAAGUAUUUAAGGAGUGUAAAACUCUUCCUCCAUCAGUAUUGGAACCAUGGGAAGAUUAUAAAAUACGGAAGCUGCUUAGCUUAUACAUUGAAAAUCUACAUAAAUUUAGAAGUCCAGACUGUUUGCAAAAAGGAUGUGUGGAAAGAAAUAGCAACUCAAAUGGGAACUACAGAGUAUAAUUGUUACCAUAAGUUCAAGAACUUGAAAAGAGCUUUACUUGAACUGGUUGGAGAGAAGUCGCGAAACUGGGAAGCCUAUAAAAUGGCAAUACCAUCAAUACUUUGAAAGAAUAUUUUAUAACUAUAGUCCUACAUUAGGUCCCUGGGAUAGAAACAAAACACGAUUACUAAUGGAUGCAUAUGUUCAGAUAGCAGAUAAAUUCAAAAUCCAAGAAUACAAAAGAAAGAACUUUGGAAAGAAAUAGCCACUGUAGUAGGCGAAAGUGCUAGUGACUGUGACAAAAAAUUUCGAAACCUUAAACAAACAUAUAUUCGGCUUAAAAUGAAGGCAGACUCAGGUAGAAGCAUUACAAAAUGGCGAUAUUUCAAAGAUUUUGAUACUAUCUAUGGAAAUACAACUAUAGCGAGCACAGAAGAACCUAAAAUCACCCAGAAGUCGACACAAGAAGAUUAUGUAAAGCUAUUGCUUUCAUUUUAUUUGGAAAACAAGGAAAAAUUUCGGGACCCAUUAAUCAAAAAGAAAAAUGUAUGGAGAAUUUUGACACCGAAAAUUGGUUUAUCCACUGAAGAGUGCGACAGAAAGUUUAGAAAUUUAAAGCAGACUUAUAUUAGGCUAGCAGAGAAAAAGCGCGAAACCGGAAAAAAUAACAACUGGCCAUAUUAUGCGUACUUCGAGAAAAUAUUCGACCAACCUACUGUUCCCGGUACGUGUAACCACGUAAAUGUAGAUGACGUUACGUUGUCAGAAAUAAAACGUGUAGUGCGCGACAUUCAAGACAAGAAAGAUAACGACAAAUUCGAAAGGCUCUUACAGCACAUAGAAGAAUCUAAUAAUAUUCAAAGAGAGAGAAACAGAAUAUUACAAGCAAUUUUGGAUAGGAAAUAAAAAAUUACAGUUGAAGAUUA
RNAcentral lists this small RNA (1770 nucleotides) under Manduca sexta (tobacco hornworm). RNAcentral's name for it is "uncharacterized LOC115456459". The record is from RNAcentral. Lineage: Eukaryota; Metazoa; Arthropoda; Insecta; Lepidoptera; Sphingidae.